GAUGACCUGAUUUUGAUCCCCAGACUCCAAAAAUGAAGGCAGAACGGACUCCCUCAAGUUGUCCUCUGACCGCCAGACUUCCACCGCGGUGUGUAUGGCCCCCACAAAAAGACACACAAAUAAAUAGCACGAAAAGGAAGUAUCCGUGGUGAAGCUAUGGCCAGGUCAGAGGAAGGACUACAAGAUGAGAGCAUGUCCGCAUGCCUGGGGAAGACCAACAGUGACCCAAAUAAGAUGAAGGAGCGGGGAUGAAGAUGGAGGUCUAGUGUGCACGAGCUCCAGAAACACACCUACUCCUGCCUUACCAGAAAGCAGGCCCCAGUGCCACACACCGGACCCCAAGCUCACACUACCACGGAUCACCAGCUCCUGCCUCGGGGCCUUGUUCUCCGGGUGCACAGGUCUCCUUCUGGCUCACGGUGCUGUACUCUCGUUUCUACUGAUCCCUAUUCCCAUGCUGUGCCUAUCCCAGGCACCCCUGCCUGGCCUGCUUGCCUGGCACGUGCUCUUUUUAGUGCUCGUUUCCCUUGUUUAUUUGACUGUUGGUUCAUUUCCUGGCUAGCCUCCCUGGAGCCUGCUCAGACUGCCCUUCGACUUCACCUGUGCUGCUGAGACCAGAGGCCUAGACUAUGGUUUGUGCAGGGCACUCAGCUGCAUUAGGACAGUAUUUAGCACAUAGUAGGCACACAAUAGGUAGUUGUACAAAGAAGGAAGAAAGUGAGAAGUUUGUUCUACUUGUUCUUUCCUCUCUCCUUCCAGGAAAGCUUACACAAAUAAGCAACAUGUUUUUGAGAGUGUGGAAUCCAGGCGUACAUAAUUAACAGCCAGAGAAGGGAGAGGAAUAUGUCUUUCCACGGGCAAUUUGCGCGCUGCGGUUGGUUUUUUUUUUUUGUGUGUGUUUUUGUUGUUGUUGUUUGUUUUGUUUUGUUUUUGCUUGUACUGCUACAAAAAGAAAUGGCCCUCAAGCAUCCCCGUGUCCCUGCUCUUUAAGGGUACACCAGCACCCUUCAAAGAGAGGGCAAACUGAGUGACAGUGUCUGAUAGAUGUGGAGCCCUGUUCUCAGCGCCGUCCCAUCUCAGAUUUGUAUUUAACAUUUUCACUCUGUAGACCAGGCUGGCCUCAAACUCACAAAGAUCUGCCUGCCUCUGCCUCCCAAGUGCUGGGAUUUAAGGCGUGCGCCACCACCGACCGGCUUGCAUUUAACAUUUUACAAAAGGAAACUCGAGGCUUCUGAAGCUGUUCCACUUGACUGAGGCCCAAAGUAGAAAGCUGAAAAGUGGACCAGAGUCUGUCACAAUGCCAGCCAGCCUUCUUACAUUUAUGUGUGAGCACCUACCAAGUGAGCACAGACUUGCUGGCUCUCUGUGGCCCUCCCCUUGGAGAGAUUGAAACUGGAUCUGCAGUUGAUAAGCUUAUCAUCAGGACCAGGAAAGAACGAGGCAAGCAAGGUGCCUAGGAUGCAGAAUUCAGAAGGUCCAUCCUUUUUUUUUUUUUUUUUGAGACCAAAGUAACCCAGGUUGGCUUCCAACUCACUGUGUACCUGAGGAUAACCUUAAAUUUCUGAAUCUUCUGCCUUCGCCUCUUAAUUAUUUCUUAUUAUGGGUAUGUGCCACUGAGCCAAGUCUAUGUAAUGCUGGAGCUUGAACCCAGGGCUUUGUGCAUGCCAGGCAAGCACUCUACCAACCGAGCCACACCCCAACCCUAUGAGACAUCACUCUCAAGCACUUGCCCAACUUCAAAGAGUGAUGUCUUUUAGCGUUUUGGGCCAAGCACACCCCCCACUUCCCUCCCUCAUUCUGGCCCUGCUCUUAGCAAGUUGCCUUUGCUAUGGGGUCAUCAGAUAAC
Non-coding RNA from Peromyscus maniculatus bairdii (prairie deer mouse), 1846 nucleotides. The record is from RefSeq and is a predicted model, not a curated record. NCBI's taxonomy places the organism in Eukaryota, Metazoa, Chordata, Mammalia, Rodentia, Cricetidae.